GUUUCAAUUCCUCAUAGGCAGGCUAUCGGCGGCCGGAAUUGAGUGGAAGGGACGGUUUUAUCCUCCAG
RNAcentral lists this small RNA (68 nucleotides) under Acididesulfobacillus acetoxydans. RNAcentral describes it as "Peptococcaceae bacterium INE non-coding RNA". The record is from RNAcentral. Lineage: Bacteria; Bacillati; Bacillota; Clostridia; Eubacteriales; Peptococcaceae.